UAAUAGAUACCCGGGUAGUCCACGCCCUAAACGAUGCGAACUGGAUGUUGGGUACAUUACGGUACUCAGUGUCGAAGCUAACGCGUUAAGUUCGCCGCCUGGGGAGUACGGUCGCAAGACUGAAACUCAAAGGAAUUGACGGGGGCCCGCACAAGCGGUGGAGUAUGUGGUUUAAUUCGAUGCAACGCGAAGAACCUUACCUGGCCUUGACAUCUGUCGAAUCCUGCAAAGAUGCGGGAGUGCCGCAAGGAACGACAAGACAGGUGCUGCAUGGCUGUCGUCAGCUCGUGUCGUGAGAUGUUGGGUUAAGUCCCGCAACGAGCGCAACCCUUGCCCCUAGUUGCCAGCACGUAAUGGUGGGAACUCUAGGGAGACUGCCGGUGACAAACCGGAGGAAGGUGGGGAUGACGUCAAGUCCUCAUGGCCCUUACGGCCAGGGCUACACACGUACUACAAUGGUCGGUACAGAGGGUUGCGAAGCCGCGAGGUGGAGCCAAUCCCAGAAAACCCGAUCCCAGUCCGGAUCGGAGU
RNAcentral lists this ribosomal RNA (531 nucleotides) under uncultured bacterium. RNAcentral describes it as "bacterial SSU rRNA". It matches the Rfam family "Bacterial small subunit ribosomal RNA", at positions 776 to 1304 of the family's 1533-position model. The record is from RNAcentral.